UAUGCAUCUCGACAGUUGCAUCCACAUGAGGAGAAUUAUCCUACACAUGAUCUAGAGCUUGCAGCCGUAGUCUAUGCACUCAAGACCUGGCGACAUUACCUACUUGGUAAACCUUGCGAGAUCUACACCGAUCACCAGAGUCUCAAGUAUAUCUUCACCCAACCGGAUCUGAACCUUAGGCAAAGACGUUGGUUGGAGUUGAUCACAGAUUAUGAUCUAGGGAUUACCUACACCCCAGGCAAAGCCAAUGUCAUGGCUGAUGCUCUAAGCCGUAAAUCCUAUUGCAACAAUCUCAUGUUGCAGCAAGGCCAACCACUUCUCCAUGAGGAAUUUUGUAAGCUUAACCUUCACAUAGCUCCUCACGGAUUCCUUUCUACCCUGGUGGCGAAACCUGAUCUUGAAGAUCGGAUUAUCGCUGCUCAAAAGCAAGACACAGGAAUUUCUCAGAUCAAGAGAAACAUUAAGAAGGGAGUUGGUGGAUGUUUCUCUAUGGAUGAUCGUGGUGUUGUUUUCUUUGAGAAUCGUUUGGUGGUUCCCAAGAAUCAACAUCUGCGACAAUUGAUCCUUAAGGAGGCGCAUGAAUCUCCUCUCACGAUUCAUCCCGGUAGUACUAAGAUGUAUCAG
Molecule: ribosomal RNA, 624 nt
Filed under: Triticum aestivum (bread wheat)
Lineage: Eukaryota; Viridiplantae; Streptophyta; Magnoliopsida; Poales; Poaceae
Description: partial small subunit ribosomal RNA
Source: RNAcentral